RNAcentral lists this small RNA (124 nucleotides) under Marmota monax (woodchuck). Lineage: Eukaryota; Metazoa; Chordata; Mammalia; Rodentia; Sciuridae. The record is from RNAcentral.
ACCGGGUGUGGUAGUGCAUGCCUGUAAUCCCAGCAGCUCGGAGGCUGAGGCAGGAGGAUCUCAAGUUCAAAGCCAGCCUCAGCCACAGUGAGGCGCUAAGCAACUCGGUGAGACCCUGUCUCUA